UCCUCGCGACGACCCGAGCUCGAGUCGAGCCGCUCCGCCAGGCAGACCCGCGACGCCCUGUUCGACUCCGGACGCCGCCCGCACGCAAAUCGCCAGAACAGGACUCAAGCCUUCCUAGUUCCACCCCUGACCACCCGAACCUUCCGCCCAGACGCAGCAACGCUGCCCCGCCUUCACCGGUGAUCCGCUCCAGCCCGUCCGUCCGAUGCCCCUGCAG
RNAcentral lists this long non-coding RNA (217 nucleotides) under Eucalyptus grandis. RNAcentral's name for it is "long non-coding RNA (EGRA_LNC005459)". The record is from RNAcentral. Lineage: Eukaryota; Viridiplantae; Streptophyta; Magnoliopsida; Myrtales; Myrtaceae.